AAGAACUUUCAUUUGUUUAUGUUUUAUAUCUUCUGAAAACAUAAGAAAAAAAAUGCUGGCUUUGAACAGAAAUGUUAUAGUUUUUGCAUUGAUAUUGUUGGUGAUACUAAGUGUUUCGCCUUUGAGUGCAGGAAAAGGUUUAUUCUUUAGUCCUGCAGAAUGUGUGAAGAGAAUCCAAAAUGUGGAGGGAUGCGCUGAUGCCAUAACUGCCAUAUUACGUUGGGAUUUUAGCCACCUUAAGCACGGUUGCUGUGACGUUCUGGAAGGUUUAACCGAAGAUUGCUGGCCAAUAGUGUUCCCCCACCAGCCUCUUGUUCACACGAUGAUCAAAGGAAUAUGUUUCUUCCCAUAGAAACGACUGUUUCUUCUAUAAUUAAUCAACUGCUAUGAUGAUACGUAUGAGUAAGUAAACCAAAAAAAAAAUGCCUUGUAAUAGGUUUUAUCUUAUUAUUCUUAUUUUGGAUGAUAUUAUAUAAUGAGAAGCUAUCUAAUUAAUAUGUUCCUUUUUUUCUUCUCUUUGAAAUGUUUCCUUCUAUCUAAGUCAAUACGCA
Molecule: long non-coding RNA, 551 nt
Filed under: Brassica napus (rape)
Lineage: Eukaryota; Viridiplantae; Streptophyta; Magnoliopsida; Brassicales; Brassicaceae
Description: long non-coding RNA (BNAP_LNC002816)
Source: RNAcentral